CUGCUUGACUAGCUGAGAGGAGGUGCAUGGCCGUCGUCAGUUCGUACUAGUGAAGCAUCCUGUUAAGUCAGGCAACGAGCGAGACCCACGCCAACAGUUGCCAGCAUGUCCUCCGGGAUGAUGGGGACACUGUUGGGACCGCCUCUGCUAAAGAGGAGGAAGGAAUGGGCAACGGUAGGUCAGCAUGCCCCGAAUUAUCCGGGCUACACGCGGGCUACAAUGGUCAGGACAAUGGGUAUCGACACCGAGAGGUGGAGGCAAUCUCCUAAACCUGUCCUUAGUUCGGAUUGUGGGCUGCAACUCGCCCACAUGAAGCUGGAAUCCGUAGUAAUCGCGUUUCAAAAUAGCGCGGUGAAUAUGUCCCUGCUCCUU
RNAcentral lists this ribosomal RNA (372 nucleotides) under uncultured Methanolinea sp. RNAcentral describes it as "bacterial SSU rRNA". It matches the Rfam family "Archaeal small subunit ribosomal RNA", at positions 968 to 1338 of the family's 1478-position model. The record is from RNAcentral. Lineage: Archaea; Methanobacteriati; Methanobacteriota; Methanomicrobia; Methanomicrobiales; Methanoregulaceae.